UGGGGGAUAUUGCACAAUGGGCGAAAGCCUGAUGCAGCGACGCCGCGUGGGGGAUGAAGGCUUUCGGGUUGUAAACCUCUUUCGCUAUCGAACAAGGCCCGCUUAGGGUGGGUUGAGGGUAGGUGGAGAAGAAGCGCCGGCUAACUACGUGCCAGCAGCCGCGGUAAUACGUAGGGCGCGAGCGUUGUCCGGUAUUAUUGGGCUUAAAGGGCUUGUAGGCGGCUUGUUGCGCCUGCUGUGUAAACGCGGGGCUUAACUUCGCGCGUGCAGUGGGUACGGGCAGGCUUGAGUGUGGUAGGGGUGACUGGAAUUCCAGGUGUAGCGGUGGAAUGCGCAGAUAUCUGGAGGAGCACCGAUGGCGAAGGCAGGUCACUUGGCCAUUACUGACGCUGAGGAGCGAAAGCAUGGGUAGCGAACAGG
Molecule: ribosomal RNA, 420 nt
Filed under: bacterium
Lineage: Bacteria
Description: partial 16S ribosomal RNA
Rfam family: Bacterial small subunit ribosomal RNA
Source: RNAcentral